Molecule: ribosomal RNA, 586 nt
Filed under: Brettanomyces naardenensis
Lineage: Eukaryota; Fungi; Ascomycota; Pichiomycetes; Pichiales; Pichiaceae
Description: eukaryotic LSU rRNA
Rfam family: Eukaryotic large subunit ribosomal RNA
Source: RNAcentral
AGGAAAAGAAACCAACAGGGAUUGCCUCAGUAACGGCGAGUGAAGCGGCAAAAGCUCGAAUUUGAAAUCCUCUUCGGAGGAGUUGUAAUUUGAAGCUGGUUCUUUAGGGAGUUUUGUUUUUGGCUGCGGAAGUGCCUUGGAACAGGCCGCCGUGGAGGGUGAGAGCCCCGUAUCGUGGCCAGCAAGAUUUUCGUAUAAGGGCUAGCGAAGAGUCGAGUUGUUUGGGAAUGCAGCUCUAAGUGGGUGGUAUAUUCCAUCUAAGGCUAAAUAUGGGCGAGAGACCGAUAGCAAACAAGUACAGUGAUGGAAAGAUGAAAAGAACUUUGAAAAGAGAGUGAAAAAGUACGUGAAAUUGUUGAAAGGGAAGGGUAUUUGAUCCGACAUGGUAUUUAGAUGUCGCUUGCCCCCGUGGCGGGCGCUCCAUCUUUUUACUGGGCCAGCAUCGGUGCUGGGCGGGACAGGAGGUUUCUGUGAAUGUAGCCCUUCGGGGAACUUAUAGAACAGGAUUCAUACGUCUCUCCCCGGUACCGAGGACUGCGGGAAACCAAGGAUGCUGGCAUAACGAGCAAAUACCGCCCGUCUUGAA